Molecule: ribosomal RNA, 24 nt
Filed under: Chlorellales sp. LH08AG1034
Lineage: Eukaryota; Viridiplantae; Chlorophyta; Trebouxiophyceae; Chlorellales
Also listed under: 3 other names
Description: partial 5.8S ribosomal RNA
Source: RNAcentral
CGAGGGCAUGUCUGCCUCAGCGUC